RNAcentral lists this ribosomal RNA (386 nucleotides) under uncultured bacterium. RNAcentral's name for it is "bacterial SSU rRNA". It matches the Rfam family "Bacterial small subunit ribosomal RNA", at positions 28 to 417 of the family's 1533-position model. The record is from RNAcentral.
GACGAACGCUGGCGGCGUGCUUAACACAUGCAAGUCGAGCGGUAAGGCCCUUUCGGGGGUACACGAGCGGCGAACGGGUGAGUAACACGUGGGUGACCUGCCCUCAGCUCUGGGAUAAGCCUGGGAAACCGGGUCUAAUACUGGAUAUGACUCCAUGACGCAUGUUGUGGGGUGGAAAGCCUUGUGCGGCUGAGGAUGGGCCCGCGGCCUAUCAGCUUGUUGGUGGGGUGAGGCCUACCAAGGCGACGACGGGUAGCCGGCCUGAGAGGGCGACCGGCCACACUGGGACUGAGACACGGCCCAGACUCCUACGGGAGGCAGCAGUGGGGAAUAUUGCGCAAUGGGCGAAAGCCUGACGCAGCGACGCCGUGUGGGGAUGACGGCCU